AUGAGACUGCGCGUGGAGGUGACUUGGGAAUCCGCGCGCCCAGGAGGGCCCCUCCGCCAAGUUCCGGGGAAAGUACCUAAAAAGGCCACUAGGCGCGCGCGACGACCGGCGCAAACACCCGCAGACCGGCUCCAGGUCGCAGGCCGGCAAUGGCCACCGCCGCCAACGCACGCCCCACCCGGUCUGGGUCCACCUCGGAUCGCUGUCCCGGCCCGGGCGGGCGGAGGGGGCCCGGUGCUUCCCCGGAGUCCCAGCUUUGGAGCUCCCCGCGGUCACAGCCAGGCACAGUGCGACCCUGGCAGCAGAUGGGGCACUUGGACCAUUUAUUUGUUCACUGUUUGCGACCUCUGGUCUCACGAGGGUGGCUGUGGGAAGGAGACCGACUCCCGGUGCGGCUCCCGGGCCGCGCCUGCGGGGUCCGAGCUCCAGAGAGGACAGGGCCUUUCUCCAGGAAUUGACUAUCUCCACCCAGACUCGGCCUACAACUAUGAACCGCGGGCGGCCAGUGCACGCCCCUUCCUGUGUCUGCUGCUGGCUCCGCGCACCACUCUUGGGCGUCGGGCUUCCGGCGUCCUGGCGGCUUGGGUAGCGGGGGUUCGGGCGGUCGUCUGGCUGCUCCUCUGGGCUGCGACCUGGCUCACGCGCGGGCCUGCCGCAGCCUUCACCUCCGCAAGCUCUGACCCCGGCAUAAGGGCCACGUGUUCUGAAAUUACUUUGAGACAAGAAGUUUUGAAAGAAGGUUUCCCCAGAGACCUUUUAAUAAAAGUGAAGUUUGGAGAAGGCAUCGAGGAAUAACAGAGGUGCCGAGUCUUAAUGAAACAGAAUAUUCCUACAGGACAUUUUGUGGAUCCAUAUGAGUUGGCUUCAUUAGGAGAGAGAAACUUAACAGAAGCAAUGAUGGUUUUGGAAAAUUUUGAUACAGAUGCCCCUAUUUGUCCAAGGAAUCUGAAGUUCUCAUUUAUGUCAGACAAGAUUCACAGUGCAUUGAUCGUUUUCAAGCCUUUUUGCCUGUGCACUACCACUAUCAUCGGCCACAGAGUAAAGAUGGAGAAACCUUUACUGUGGUCAGUAACCUAGAUUUGUUGAUGUAUUGUGACCAAGAGUUCCCGAUUUUGAAAUGCUGGGCCCACCCAGAAGUGGCAGCUCCCUGUGCUUUGGAGAAUGAGAAUAUCUGCCAGUGGAACAAGAUGAAGCAUAAAUCAGUAUACAAGAAUGUGGUUCUGCAGGUUCCAGUGGGACUGACUGUACAUUACCUCUUUGUAUGUUCUGUGACUCUGCUCACUACAAUCCUGUGCUCUACUUUGAUCCUCGUAACAGUUUUCAAAUAUGGCCAUUUUUCCCUGUAAGUUUUAUGUAGUUAAAUGCUUCCUAGAAACCUAAAUAAGAUCUAUUAAAUUCUGAUGAGAGGUGUUCUUCUAGAAUUGAGCUUAUAACUCUUAUCAUUUGUCUUCACUUGUGGCCAAAAUUAUGUUUGCUAGAGGAAAUCUGGGAUCAUUCUCAGCUAAUUCCAAAAUUUAGUGCUGUAUUGCAUAGAUCCUUGGUAAUCCUCAAGCAUCAAAUGCCCUAAGAGGAAACUUAAUUCUGCUAAAUUGAUGUUUAUUUUGUGAGAAGUGACUUUAUUUUCAUUUGGGAUAGAAAAAUUAUUUCUUUAUGUAGUAGAGAACAAAUUAUUCUCCUUUUGUGAC
This is a non-coding RNA of Callithrix jacchus (white-tufted-ear marmoset), 1685 nucleotides long. Lineage: Eukaryota; Metazoa; Chordata; Mammalia; Primates; Cebidae. The record is from RefSeq and is a predicted model, not a curated record.